This 514-nucleotide ribosomal RNA is filed under the name uncultured Diversispora. Its description in RNAcentral is "SSU rRNA". It matches the Rfam family "Eukaryotic small subunit ribosomal RNA", at positions 569 to 1083 of the family's 1831-position model. Lineage: Eukaryota; Fungi; Glomeromycota; Glomeromycetes; Diversisporales; Diversisporaceae. The record is from RNAcentral.
AGCAGCCGCGGUAAUUCCAGCUCCAAUAGCGUAUAUUAAAGUUGUUGCAGUUAAAAAGCUCGUAGUUGAACUUCGGGGUCUACCCAUCGGUCAGGCUUAAUUGUCUGUACUGGUGAGAUGGAUCUCUACCUUCUGAGGAACUUUCAUGCCAUUUAUUUGGUGUGAUUGAAAAUCAGGACUGUUACUUUGAAAAAUUAGAGUGUUUAAAGCAGACUAUCGUCUGAAUACAUUAGCAUGGAAUAAUGAAAUAGGACGGACUGAUUCUAUUUCGUUGGUUUCUAGGAUCACCGUAAUGAUUAAUAGGGAUAGUUGGGGGCAUUAGUAUUCAAUUGUCAGAGGUGAAAUUCUUGGAUUUAUUGAAGACUAACUACUGCGAAAGCAUUUGCCAAGGAUGUUUUCAUUAAUCAAGAACGAAAGUUAGGGGAUCGAAGACGAUCAGAUACCGUCGUAGUCUUAACCAUAAACUAUGCCGACUAGGGAUCGGACGAAGUUAAUUUUAUAAUGACGCGUUCGG